RNAcentral lists this ribosomal RNA (253 nucleotides) under uncultured bacterium. Its description in RNAcentral is "partial 16S ribosomal RNA". It matches the Rfam family "Bacterial small subunit ribosomal RNA", at positions 524 to 776 of the family's 1533-position model. The record is from RNAcentral.
UACGUAGGGGGCAAGCGUUGUCCGGAUUUAUUGGGCGUAAAGAGCGUGUAGGCGGCCAGACAGGUCCGUUGUGAAAACUCGAGGCUCAACCUCGAGACGCCGAUGGAAACCAUCUGGCUAGAGUCCGGAAGAGGAGAGUGGAAUUCCUGGUGUAGCGGUGAAAUGCGCAGAUAUCAGGAAGAACACCCGUGGCGAAGGCGGCUCUCUGGGACGGAACUGACGCUGAGACGCGAAAGCGUGGGGAGCGAACAGG